GACGAACGCUGGCGGCGUGCCUAAUACAUGCAAGUCGAGCGGACGAAUCGAAAGCUUGCUUUUGAUGCGUUAGCGGCGGACGGGUGAUUAACACGUGGUCAACCUGCCCUGUAGACGGGGAUAACACCGAGAAAUCGGUGCUAAGACCGGAUAACACGAAAUGUCGCAUGACGUUUCGUUGAAAGACGGCGCACGCUGCGGCUACAGGAUGGGCACGCGGCGCACUAGAUAGUUGGUGAGGUAACGGCUCACCAAGGCGACGAUACGUAGCCGACCUGAGAGCGUGAUCGGCCAGCCUGGGAGUGAGACACGGCCCACACUCCUACGGGAGGACGCAGUCGAGACUCUUACGCGAUGGACGAGAGUCUGACGGAGCACCGCCGCGUAAGCGCAGAAGCAGUUAGGGUCGUAAAGCGCUGUUGUCAGGGAAGAACAAGUAACGCAGUACCUGGCGUUACAGUGACGGUACCUAGAGAGAAAGCCACGGCUAACUCCGUG
RNAcentral lists this ribosomal RNA (498 nucleotides) under uncultured bacterium. RNAcentral's name for it is "partial 16S ribosomal RNA". It matches the Rfam family "Bacterial small subunit ribosomal RNA", at positions 28 to 507 of the family's 1533-position model. The record is from RNAcentral.